UAUGAUUCUCGGUAGUGGAUAUCUUAGCUCUUGCAUCGAUGAAGAGCGCAGCAUAAUGCGAUACGUGAUGCGAAUUGCAGAAUCCCGUGAACCAUCGAUUUUUUGAACGCAAGUUGCGCCUGAGGCCAACUAGCCAAGGGCACGUCCGGCUGGGCGUGAUGC
RNAcentral lists this ribosomal RNA (162 nucleotides) under Prasophyllum macrotys. RNAcentral describes it as "5.8S ribosomal RNA". It matches the Rfam family "5.8S ribosomal RNA". Rfam says of the family: 5.8S ribosomal RNA (5.8S rRNA) is a component of the large subunit of the eukaryotic ribosome. It is transcribed by RNA polymerase I as part of the 45S precursor that also contains 18S and 28S rRNA. Functionally, it is thought that 5.8S rRNA may be involved in ribosome translocation. Lineage: Eukaryota; Viridiplantae; Streptophyta; Magnoliopsida; Asparagales; Orchidaceae. The record is from RNAcentral.